CCGUUCCCCGGACUGGCUCAGGCCGACGCUUUCCCAGUGGCUGCGCCCGGGGCUGGUGGCCUUCCCCGAGGCCGGGCAGCCUAGGGCCACAGUCGACUUGUCAAUGGUCAGGGUCCUAGAGGUAAAACUCUCAGGAAAGCCCCGGCGUGUGGGCGCCUAGCAGAGCUCCAAGAGACCCAGUCCCAGCGCAUCCCACCUGGGCAGGUUGUGUACGAGGAAUCCCCAAGCAGACCACCUAGCCACUCUGUGAUCUUGGGCAGCACCGCCCUUACCGAGCGGGCACCCCAACUGUAAAAUGGGGGUCACAGUGGUAUCUCCCAUAGCGCUGUUUUCAGGAUGAGGUCAGCCCUUGCCUUGCAGUCAGCUGCCAACAAACGUUUGUUUUGAUGAGCCCAGGGCCUGCCACGUGGUAGGUGUUCGCUAGAUUGUGUCUAUUCUCGAAAGCACCCUCUGAGCCGGGACCAGCCAGGGGGAAAGUGAGUUGAAUCAUCUUCCCUCUGCCGCCUGCAGCAGCCUGACAUCCAGUAGAUAAUUAUUUGGAGCACCCUAGAGAGUGAUGGCAAGGUUCACACCAUGAACAAGCAAUGAUGAGCGCUGAGGAUGCCUCUGAGGUCUCUUCUCUCAUCCCUCCCGGGACCCACCGGGAGGAGUCCAAUUGGACCCAUGCGGAAAGCAAACAGCCAGAAUCAUAUAGGAGGGGAAACAACCAAAAAAAAAAAGGCAGUGAAGGCCUGAAGAGGGAAGAAACUGCUCAUGUGAUGUUCAGAGCCAGGAGCAGUCAGGUUUGUUCCAGGGCUGUGUAGACUUUUCACUUGCUUGAGUCUGUGACUUGGCAGAUAGAGGUGGGUGCCAGGGGGCAGGAAGGGGCAUAAAAAGGAUAGGAUCUACAGUGAUGGCUACCUGAGGUCCUUUUCAGCUCCAGGAGUCCUGGGAUUUCGUAAUCCGCAUGAUUCAUCCUUUCAGCAGGUGUGAGUCACCCUAAUAGAGGUGGGAGAACGGGAGGCGUGGUGGGAGGCCCAACCCGGACAGGCUAAAUUCCUGUUCACAAGGGCUCCUGCCAAGGGCCCCUCUUAGAACCCAGGGAUCUACGUCCCAGUGGCCUUCUCUUCUCUUCACCAGCCAUACUUUCUGUCCCUUCCCUUUUCCGGCAAGCGGGGUCGUCUUCCCGGACAAUUGCUGCAGGCCUACCCCAGGCUGCAGAAUACAGGCUCCUUGUGUGCUGGCUGGGUGCUCACUGGCGCCUGCCCACUGGAAAGGCUUGAGGCCAUGAUGCAAGCUGGCCAGUGCUAGAGGAGAACAUGCCACACCUGUUGGGCAGUGACAGUACCCAGAACCCUCACCCUAACCCUGCCCAGCCACCUGGCCCACAGAGAAGGGACACUGUGCUGAAUCGGGUGGAGUUACAGGCCUUGCCCUGUUCCUGUCCAGCAAUCCAUCGGACACUGUGUGUCACUUUUCUGCCCCUUGUUAGCCAGCCUGUCACUGAGAGUCAUCCAGAUCCUACGGCAUUCCUCUGUAAGUAUGUGGGCCGCUCUAAGGUAUAGCACACUGCACAUAAUCCAAGUGAUUAUGAAGCAGCUCGUGCCUCCCAGGAGGGUACUCCCAUGACAACAGUGAUUUUGACAGGCAGAGAUAAGGGUUUUUCCAUAAUAAUUUGGUAGAUUAAGGGAUUCAGCCUACUGAACUGAGAGGAGACUAAGACACAUCUGAAUUUUUAUUUGGAGGGAUCUGAAUUUAUUUUAUUAACAAGGUUGGUCCUCUGGGGCUAAACUUUCCACUUAUGGCGGAGGUACGUGGGCUAUAGCUUGGCUUCAGCAUUGCAGGAAGACCAGCUUCCCAAAAUGAACAUCCUAAAUCAAAUUGCCUCCUCUGAGUUUCCUAUUGAUUUACACUAUGACAGGAUUAACUCAGUCAUGGUACCAGCCCUUUGCAUUGUGAUAGGAUCUGUAAUAAAACUUGGUUCAUCUUCUUGCAGGGAGAGGAUUUAUUAUUACUCACUGGGACUGCCGCUUACCAGAUGGCCCCGGAGGUCCACACCACUCUGGGGUAGGGAGCCUGCUGCUCCCGUAGACUGAGGCCCCAGUGACUUGAACUGGGUCACAGCCCUCCCUCCACAGUGAUGGAGCCGCUGACAACACGGACAAGGUUACCCGUGCUGCUUUGGAUCUGUUCUGGCAAAACAUUUUCUCCUGGAAAAACAUUUUCCUGAACACACUGCUGCCCCAAAUUGAGCAAAACGAGGAUUCUUCAAGCAGAAGGCAGCUCCAGGAGGGAUGCUAGGUGGGUCCCCAGCUGGCACCUGCUCCCCUUUUCUGUUCUGCUGUCUCGCCUUUAUCUAGAUCCUGCUAGACACACAGCAGACUCCAAAUAGUUACUGAAAGGAGGGCCAGAGGGAGUGGGGAGGAAAAGAACGAAAGAAGGGGAAAAAGACAGAAGGAAAGGAAGGCUCAUAUAUUGCUUAGGAUGAAUCCAGGAAAUUAAAUACCAACACAAAUCAGCUGUAAGCAGCUACAACUUUGACCUUCCUGGCCUCCCCGAGCCCCACGCCAAGCAGAACCCUAGCACUCAAUGGCAUUUUACCCAAGUCCAACAGCAAGCGUGCCUCUUUCUCCUGUAUGAAAACAUCCCUUGGCUCCAGGAUGGGCUGCAAGCUCCUUGCCUGAGUACUGUUCCCAGGAAAUAAGCCAGAGGGCACAAGCAACGCUGCUCCUCACCUCCUGCCCUGGGCCCUGCCCUGCCCCUCCGAAGCUGCCACCACCCCCCACCAUGCCCUGGGCUCCAGGGAAUUCCAGCCUCCAGAUCUCGUUCUGGCAAUGACCCACACUCCUGGCCCUUUAAUCCAUUCACUCCUGGGCCCUCUCCUGCGCUGCAGAGCUUCCUCCGCCCCAAGACUGCGUCCUUGCUGCCCCUACCACCAACCCCUCGUGCUUCCCCUCUCUGCUGCUCCUCUUGUCUUCCCCACAAGGCUUCUGGGAAAGGUUCUAGCCCUUCGCUCUGCAUUCAGGAGUCACCCUGUGCCCAAGACCUCAUCCCCCAGCACUGCACCUGCGAGGCCAGAUGAAGGUGGAGAAGAAACAAAACCACUCGAACUGGUCUCGCUUGAAGUUUGUCUUUACUCACCUGCAGCAGUUGCAGCAAAGUCUCACUGUUCUCAGGGACACUUUCAACCCCUCCUUCUCCAACCCCGCUUCGGCCUCCUUCUCAGGGAGACGCCUCCUCCUGCCCCUGCCUGGGCUCUGUCUCCCCAGCAUUGCUGCAGGUGGACACGGGGUCUCGCCCUCCCAAGGGCCUCCUCCCCGGCCAUGUGCUGGUCCCAACCUCACCCCAGUCAGGGAUGCUCCUUCCUCAGUAUCACCCCAAAGGUCCAUGUGUUGAAAUUUAACCCCCACUGUGAGAUGUUAAAGGGGAGGAAGUGAGAUGUAACCCAGUUCUGGUGUUCAGAAGUGACUGGACUUAGAUAAAGUCGUUCAGAUGGAACCCCAUGAUUAGACGCUGGUGUCUUGAUAAGAAGACAGAGAGAGACAGAAGAGACACAACCAUGCAGCCCUUAUCUCUUAUCAUGUCCUGUGCCGUCAGGGUCUUUGCCAGCAAAAAGCCCAUUACCAGCUGGGGACCCUGAACCCUGCACCUCUGGAACUGUGAGCCAGAAUAAACCUGUUUUCUUUAUAAAAUUA
This is a long non-coding RNA of Chinchilla lanigera (long-tailed chinchilla), 3674 nucleotides long. RefSeq lists it as uncharacterized. NCBI's taxonomy places the organism in Eukaryota, Metazoa, Chordata, Mammalia, Rodentia, Chinchillidae. The transcript is spliced from 3 exons. The record is from RefSeq and is a predicted model, not a curated record.